CACACUGGGACUGAGACACGGCCCAGACUCCUACGGGAGGCAGCAGUGGGGAAUAUUGCACAAUGGGGGAAACCUUGAUGCAGCCAUGCCGCGUGUGUGAGGAAGGCCUUCGGGUUGUAAAGCACUUUCAGAUGUGAGGAAAGGUUAGUAGUUAAUACCUGCUAGCCGUGACGUUAACAACAGAAGAAGCGCCGGCUAACUCCGUGCCAGCAGCCGCGGUAAUACGGAGGGUGCGAGCGUUAUUCGCGAUUACUGGGCGUAAAGCGCACGCAGGCGGUUCGUUAAGCUAGAUGUGAAAGCCCCGGGCUCAACCUGGGAUGGUCAUUUAGAACUGGCAGACUAGAGUCUUGGAGAGGGGAGUGGAAUUCCAGGUGUAGCGGUGAGAUGCGUAGAUAUCUGGAGGAGCAUCAGUGG
RNAcentral lists this ribosomal RNA (414 nucleotides) under Alteromonas sp. W98. RNAcentral describes it as "bacterial SSU rRNA". It matches the Rfam family "Bacterial small subunit ribosomal RNA", at positions 309 to 715 of the family's 1533-position model. Lineage: Bacteria; Pseudomonadati; Pseudomonadota; Gammaproteobacteria; Alteromonadales; Alteromonadaceae. The record is from RNAcentral.